RNAcentral lists this ribosomal RNA (849 nucleotides) under uncultured bacterium. Its description in RNAcentral is "partial 16S ribosomal RNA". It matches the Rfam family "Bacterial small subunit ribosomal RNA", at positions 26 to 896 of the family's 1533-position model. The record is from RNAcentral.
AGAACGAACGCUGGCGGCGUGCUUAACACAUGCAAGUCGGACGGGGGUCGCAAGACCCUAGUGGCGGACGGGUGAGUAACGCGUGGGUGACCUGCCCCGGGAUGGGGGAUACCCGACCGAAAGGGUCGGCUAAUACCGCAUACGGUCCACGGCAUGACAGCUGUGGAAGAAAGGCGCAAGCCGUCUUGGGAUGGGCUCACGCCCGAUUAGCUAGUUGGUGAGGUAACGGCUCACCAAGGCGACGAUCGGUAGCUGGUCUGAGAGGAUGAUCAGCCACACUGGAACUGAGACACGGUCCAGACUCCUACGGGAGGCAGCAGUGAGGAAUUUUCCGCAAUGGGCGCAAGCCUGACGGAGCGACGCCGCGUGGAGGACGAAAUCUUUCGGGAUGUAAACUCCUUUCGACCGGAACGAAACAAAUGACGGUACCGGGAGAAGAAGCAUCGGCUAACUACGUGCCAGCAGCCGCGGUAAGACGUAGGAUGCAAGCGUUGUUCGGAAUUACUGGGCGUAAAGGGUGCGUAGGCGGCCCUUUAAGUCGGUGGUGAAAGCCUGGAGCUCAACUCCAGAGACGCCGCCGAGACUGAAGGGCUCAGAGGACGGCAGAGGGGGGUAGAAUUCCCAGUGUAGCGGUGAAAUGCGUAGAUAUUGGGAGGAAUACCAGUGGCGAAAGCGACCCCCUGGGUUAGUCCUGACGCUGAGGUACGAAAGCGUGGGGAGCAAACGGGAUUAGAUACCCCGGUAGUCCACGCCGUAAACGAUGGGUGCUAGGUGUAGGUGGUAUCGACCCCACCUGUAUCGAAGCUAACGCGAUAAGCACCCCGCCUGGGGAGUACGGCCGCAAGGUUG